UACGUAGGCAGCAAGCGUUGUUCGGAAUUACUGGGCGUAAAGGGCUCGUAGGUGGCCAACUAAGUCAUACGUGAAAUCCCUCGGCUUAACCGGGGAACUGCGUCUGAUACUGGAUGGCUUGAGGUUGGGAGAGGGAUGCGGAAUUCCAGGUGUAGCGGUGAAAUGCGUAGAUAUCUGGAGGAACACCGGUGGCGAAGGCGGCAUCCUGGACCAAUCCUGACACUGAGGAGCGAAAGCCAGGGGAGCAAACGGG
This 253-nucleotide ribosomal RNA is filed under the name uncultured bacterium. Its description in RNAcentral is "partial 16S ribosomal RNA". It matches the Rfam family "Bacterial small subunit ribosomal RNA", at positions 524 to 776 of the family's 1533-position model. The record is from RNAcentral.